This 997-nucleotide ribosomal RNA is filed under the name human gut metagenome. Its description in RNAcentral is "bacterial LSU rRNA". It matches the Rfam family "Bacterial large subunit ribosomal RNA", at positions 1934 to 2925 of the family's 2925-position model. The record is from RNAcentral.
CCGUAACUAUAACGGUCCUAAGGUAGCGAAAUUCCUUGUCGGGUAAGUUCCGACCUGCACGAAUGGCGUAAUGAUGGCCAGGCUGUCUCCACCCGAGACUCAGUGAAAUUGAACUCGCUGUGAAGAUGCAGUGUACCCGCGGCAAGACGGAAAGACCCCGUGAACCUUUACUAUAGCUUGACACUGAACAUUGAGCCUUGAUGUGUAGGAUAGGUGGGAGGCUUUGAAGUGUGGACGCCAGUCUGCAUGGAGCCGACCUUGAAAUACCACCCUUUAAUGUUUGAUGUUCUAACGUUGGCCCGUUAUCCGGGUUGCGGACAGUGUCUGGUGGGUAGUUUGACUGGGGCGGUCUCCUCCUAAAGAGUAACGGAGGAGCACGAAGGUUGGCUAAUCCUGGUCGGACAUCAGGAGGUUAGUGCAAUGGCAUAAGCCAGCUUGACUGCGAGCGUGACGGCGCGAGCAGGUGCGAAAGCAGGUCAUAGUGAUCCGGUGGUUCUGAAUGGAAGGGCCAUCGCUCAACGGAUAAAAGGUACUCCGGGGAUAACAGGCUGAUACCGCCCAAGAGUUCAUAUCGACGGCGGUGUUUGGCACCUCGAUGUCGGCUCAUCACAUCCUGGGGCUGAAGUAGGUCCCAAGGGUAUGGCUGUUCGCCAUUUAAAGUGGUACGCGAGCUGGGUUUAGAACGUCGUGAGACAGUUCGGUCCCUAUCUGCCGUGGGCGCUGGAGAACUGAGGGGGGCUGCUCCUAGUACGAGAGGACCGGAGUGGACGCAUCACUGGUGUUCGGGUUGUCAUGCCAAUGGCACUGCCCGGUAGCUAAAUGCGGAAGAGAUAAGUGCUGAAAGCAUCUAAGCACGAAACUUGCCCCGAGAUGAGUUCUCCCUGACUCCUUGAGAGUCCUGAAGGAACGUUGAAGACGACGACGUUGAUAGGCCGGGUGUGUAAGCGCAGCGAUGCGUUGAGCUAACCGGUACUAAUGAACCGUGAGGCUUAACCUU